UACGGGGGGAGCAAGCGUUGUUCGGAUUUACUGGGCGUAAAGGGCGCGUAGGCGGCCAGCACAAGUCAGUUGUGAAAUCUCCGGGCUUAACCCGGAAAGGUCAGCCGAUACUGCGGGGCUAGAGUGCAGAAGGGGCAACUGGAAUUCUCGGUGUAGCGGUGAAAUGCGUAGAUAUCGAGAGGAACACCUGCGGCGAAGGCGGGUUGCUGGGCUGACACUGACGCUGAGGCGCGAAAGCUAGGGGAGCGAACGGG
This 254-nucleotide ribosomal RNA is filed under the name uncultured bacterium. RNAcentral's name for it is "partial 16S ribosomal RNA". It matches the Rfam family "Bacterial small subunit ribosomal RNA", at positions 524 to 776 of the family's 1533-position model. The record is from RNAcentral.